This 806-nucleotide ribosomal RNA is filed under the name Streptomyces sp. AU71. RNAcentral's name for it is "bacterial SSU rRNA". It matches the Rfam family "Bacterial small subunit ribosomal RNA", at positions 84 to 902 of the family's 1533-position model. The record is from RNAcentral. Lineage: Bacteria; Bacillati; Actinomycetota; Actinomycetes; Kitasatosporales; Streptomycetaceae.
GGCGGGGAUUAGUGGCGAACGGGUGAGUAACACGUGGGCAAUCUGCCCUGCACUCUGGGACAAGCCCUGGAAACGGGGUCUAAUACCGGAUAUGACCGUCUGCCGCAUGGUGGAUGGUGUAAAGCUCCGGCGGUGCAGGAUGAGCCCGCGGCCUAUCAGCUUGUUGGUGAGGUAGUGGCUCACCAAGGCGACGACGGGUAGCCGGCCUGAGAGGGCGACCGGCCACACUGGGACUGAGACACGGCCCAGACUCCUACGGGAGGCAGCAGUGGGGAAUAUUGCACAAUGGGCGAAAGCCUGAUGCAGCGACGCCGCGUGAGGGAUGACGGCCUUCGGGUUGUAAACCUCUUUCAGCAGGGAAGAAGCGAAAGUGACGGUACCUGCAGAAGAAGCGCCGGCUAACUACGUGCCAGCAGCCGCGGUAAUACGUAGGGCGCAAGCGUUGUCCGGAAUUAUUGGGCGUAAAGAGCUCGUAGGCGGCUUGUCACGUCGGUUGUGAAAGCCCGGGGCUUAACCCCGGGUCUGCAGUCGAUACGGGCAGGCUAGAGUUCGGUAGGGGAGAUCGGAAUUCCUGGUGUAGCGGUGAAAUGCGCAGAUAUCAGGAGGAACACCGGUGGCGAAGGCGGAUCUCUGGGCCGAUACUGACGCUGAGGAGCGAAAGCGUGGGGGAGCGAACAGGAUUAGAUACCCUGGUAGUCCACGCCGUAAACGGUGGGCACUAGUGUGGGCAACAUUCCACGUUGUCCGUGCCGCAGCUAACGCAUUAAGUGCCCCGCCUGGGGAGUACGGCCGCAAGGCUAAAACUC